Molecule: long non-coding RNA, 1468 nt
Organism: Sarcophilus harrisii (Tasmanian devil)
Lineage: Eukaryota; Metazoa; Chordata; Mammalia; Dasyuromorphia; Dasyuridae
Exons: 4
Source: RefSeq, a predicted model, not a curated record
ACUUGCGCCCCGAGUCAGGUUCCUCGGGGGUAAAAGACAGAUAGCAAAAGCACCUACAUCUCCGGGUCGUUUGUGAGGACCCAAUGAGAUUAUGUAAAGUGCUGGCAGACCGUAAGGCACAGUGUGGCUGUUUGCUGUUGUUGUUGUUGUUGUUACGAAGGCUGCGUAUCGGGGGGUGACAGAGCUGCAUCGCAAAGCCAGCCCCUCCUGACUCGAGUUUAAUUCAAGUUUGACCAGAGCCAAGUGAAAUGCAUCACUUCCCCAUGAUAAGAACCAUCCCCAAACCCCAAAGAUGGAUGACUGACGUCUCUCUCGAGUCAGCUUGGUGACAGACAAUCAGGAGAAGGAUGGGAGGGCAGGGAGUCGAGCCUCUGGGGUGGAUCCGGCCUAGAAGAGCAGGUUUCUUUCAAGGUCUAAAUGGAGGGUCCUUUGACAAGUGGACCUCCCAGGAGGCAGCAUGGAUUUCCAGGAGGAGCAUCUGGAGAUGGAUCCAUAUCCCCCCUGUUUCUUAUCACGUCUGCCAUUCCUGUGGGCCAAGUGUCUGGCAUUCAGGCCCACCUUCUGUUGCCUGCCAUGGUUCACCUGUCUGCUAAGUGCCUAACUACAGCAUAAAAGCUGUUAUUCUGGGAGAUGGAGAAGCUACAUGGGCCACAUGAAGAAUGAUUUCUGGGACUCUAGCCUACAGGUUUCAGCUUGUCAUCCCACGUGAAGUACAAGUGGCAAAAACUUCCUGCUCCAUUCCACAAAAAGGAAAAUGAGACCAUGGAGGGAAGUGACUCACUAGAUUCACACGACAAGUCAGCAAUUAAGCCACAAAAACAGAUCAAGAUUCUGACUGUUAAACCCACAGCUCUUACCACUGGAAGGUAUUGCCCUACUGACCAAAAAGAUACUGGUUCAUGCCUUUGAGUUAUGGGUGUGGUGGAUGAUUUAAGCAUGCAACAGGUAUUCCUGAGGCUGAAUGGUUACCUCUCCUCUUCUUCUCCCCUUGAAUCCAUUGUGUAUACCCCUUCCAGACUGAUCAUCCUAAAAUAUCCGUACAAUCAUGAUACUCAAAUGGUUUUCUUUUGUUUAGGACAUCAAGUUCCAACUCCUCCACUUAAUUCUUUAUAUGUUCCCUAACUUAUCUCUAACGCAACCAAUCCAAGAUUAUUUCUCUCUAAAAUAUGAACCUGUAAAGAAACAUCACUAGAAUUACUAGAAUGAAAGAAAACUCACAGCUGAGUUUUUUUUCCAUCCCACCUUCAUUCAGGGUAUGACUUGUAACCCCAAACUGGUAAGCUCUCCUUUUUUAUUUCUACAGGGCCUUGUAUAGUCUCUGGGGUACUUGAAUUUCCCUAAAUAUCCUGCCCUAGGCAGGGGCAAAGUCUUUUUUUUUACUUCAUCCAAGCCAAAAAUGGAGUUUUCCAUAAAAGACUUUGCUAGCAACUAAGGGAAUAAUAAUAAUUAGAAUUAGAAUUGGAAUUUA